AGCCGCACCGGUUGAGCAGCUGCCUGAGGGAGAGCUGAGCCGCGGAGAGCGAGGGAGGCGUCGCGCAGGCCAUGCUGGGGCGGCGGGGCUUGUCCUUCGGGCAGCUGCUCCUGGCCACCGGGCUCGGCGUGGCGGGAGGCAUCUACAUCUACCAGCCCAUCUUCCAAGGGGGCCCACGCGCGGGAGGCCCUGCCCGGGACACGCCGCCGCCGCCGCGGCAGGAGGAGAAGCCGCCCCCCGGGACCCGCCUCGGCUGAGCCGGAGAGAGGCUGGCGCUUCCUCGCGGCCGCGACGAGGCUCCUUUCUUGGCCCCCCACGAUGGGAAGCCCGCCCGGCGCACAAGCGCUGCCGAGAAACCCCUCCGAAGCGAAAGAGAUGUGGACUGAAAGUUGAAAAAUUCAACAUGCCGUAAGCCAUGUGCGAGGGAUCACCAGGAAAGGGGCUGAAUAUAUAAACCUGCCAGCAGCACAGCGCCAAACCACGACAUCCACAAUUGUUGGAACAGCCAAGAACUGGGAGGGAGGCAGGUGAUCUCUUUGCUGCAGCUGUCACACUGUGAGAAGAGACAUCAGCAGCAGCCGCCCAGUGAGGACAUCCUGCUCGGCGUAGGACUGACGUGGCUGGGACGCCAAAGAAAAAGAGGAGCAGGGACUUGCAUACGCUGUUCAGCUCUAGUGACUGUUGUAUCACUGCCAUUUAAAUUGCUAUUUGAAUAUAACAGUUUAACAUAAGGCCGCCUCGAGAACUUUAUUCAGUAGGCGGGGUAUAAAUACUCCUAAAUAAAUAAAAUAAAAUAGACCUAUGGCAAGAC
Podarcis lilfordi (Lilford's wall lizard) is the source of this 811-nucleotide non-coding RNA. The record is from the annotation of a GenBank genome assembly. NCBI's taxonomy places the organism in Eukaryota, Metazoa, Chordata, Lepidosauria, Squamata, Lacertidae.